Molecule: ribosomal RNA, 252 nt
Filed under: uncultured bacterium
Lineage: Bacteria
Description: partial 16S ribosomal RNA
Rfam family: Bacterial small subunit ribosomal RNA
Source: RNAcentral
UACGGAGGGGGCUAGCGUUGUUCGGAAUUACUGGGCGUAAAGCGCACGUAGGCGGCUUUGUAAGUUAGAGGUGAAAGCCCAGGGCUUAACCCUGGAAUUGCCUUUAAGACUGCAACGCUAGAAUCGUGGAGAGGUGAGUGGAAUUCCGAGUGUAGAGGUGAAAUUCGUAGAUAUUCGGAAGAACACCAGUGGCGAAGGCGACUCACUGGACACGUAUUGACGCUGAGGUGCGAAAGCGUGGGGAGCAACAGG